RNAcentral lists this unclassified non-coding RNA (334 nucleotides) under soil metagenome. Its description in RNAcentral is "partial contains 5.8S ribosomal RNA, internal transcribed spacer 2, and large subunit ribosomal RNA". The stretch from base 1 to 120 matches the Rfam family "5.8S ribosomal RNA", at positions 35 to 154 of the family's 154-position model. The record is from RNAcentral.
GAUGAAGAACGUAGCGAAAUGCGAUAAGUAAUGUGAAUUGCAGAAUUCAGUGAAUCAUCGAAUCUUUGAACGCACAUUGCGCCCGCCAGUAUUCUGGCGGGCUUGCCUGUUCGAGCGUCAUUUCAACCAUCAAGCCCUGCUUGCGUUGGGGUCCUGCGGCUGCCCGCAGGCCCUGAAAACCAGUGGCGGGCUCGCUAGUCACACCGAGCGCAGUAAUACAUCUCGCUUUGGGCGUGCGGCGGGUUCUUGCCGUUAAACACCCCCUUUUUACCAAGGUUGACCUCGGAUCAGGUAGGAAUACCCGCUGAACUUAAGCAUAUCAAUAAGCGGAGGA